RNAcentral lists this ribosomal RNA (444 nucleotides) under soil bacterium 11G-01. RNAcentral's name for it is "bacterial SSU rRNA". It matches the Rfam family "Bacterial small subunit ribosomal RNA", at positions 24 to 481 of the family's 1533-position model. The record is from RNAcentral.
UCAGGAUGAACGCUGGCGGCGUGCUUAACACAUGCAAGUCGAACGAUGAUCCCAGCUUGCUGGGGGAUUAGUGGCGAACGGGUGAGUAACACGUGAGUAACCUGCCCUUAACUCUGGGAUAAGCCUGGGAAACUGGGUCUAAUACCGGAUAUGACUCCUCAUCGCAUGGUGGGGGGUGGAAAGCUUUAUUGUGGUUUUGGAUGGACUCGCGGCCUAUCAGCUUGUUGGUGAGGUAAUGGCUCACCAAGGCGACGACGGGUAGCCGGCCUGAGAGGGUGACCGGCCACACUGGGACUGAGACACGGCCCAGACUCCUACGGGAGGCAGCAGUGGGGAAUAUUGCACAAUGGGCGAAAGCCUGAUGCAGCGACGCCGCGUGAGGGAUGACGGCCUUCGGGUUGUAAACCUCUUUCAGUAGGGAAGAAGCGAAAGUGACGGUACCUG